UUCUAUUACAAAAUAAUUUUUUUAAUUUAAAAAAAAAUUAUACUGUUUCACAAUUUUUAUGAACCGGACAGAAAAAUCCGAAAAAACAGUUUUAUUAGGAAUCUUCAACAUUUAAAAUUGAAUUCAUUUUUCAGAUUGCUCAAUGGCUCC
This is a non-coding RNA of Caenorhabditis elegans, 150 nucleotides long. The record is from Ensembl. Lineage: Eukaryota; Metazoa; Nematoda; Chromadorea; Rhabditida; Rhabditidae.